This 387-nucleotide ribosomal RNA is filed under the name Triticum aestivum (bread wheat). RNAcentral describes it as "partial small subunit ribosomal RNA". The record is from RNAcentral. Lineage: Eukaryota; Viridiplantae; Streptophyta; Magnoliopsida; Poales; Poaceae.
AUGCACUUCCAUGAAAGAGACAACUUGGAGAGAUCCCUCUGCAUUUCAGACAUCACAUAUCACAAUUUGGUAGCAUUAAUAGAGACAGAGGGAUAUGGGCUGAAUGACUACAUUUACUUUGCGAGGGAGCCUGGUGUGGGUAUUGAAGGAUUGGUAGAAAUUUUUGAUGAUGACAAGGUGGAUGAAAUGCUUGACCAUAUUGCUAAUAAGGAUCAGACUGUAGUGAAUUUGACAGUGAUUAGGGCCACUGAUCCAAGACCUGCAGAUUUGAAUGCAGGCUAUUUGUAUGAGGAGCAGGUUCCUUUGAGUCAAUUAGGAGAAAAACCUGUCUAUGAAGUCAAUCCUUCUGGAGUUCUAUUCAGAUCACCUGAGAAAUCAAAUAAAUAG